This is a long non-coding RNA of Lotus japonicus, 5219 nucleotides long. RefSeq lists it as uncharacterized. The transcript is spliced from 4 exons. NCBI's taxonomy places the organism in Eukaryota, Viridiplantae, Streptophyta, Magnoliopsida, Fabales, Fabaceae. The record is from RefSeq and is a predicted model, not a curated record.
AUUUGUUCCCUCCUUUCUUUCGCGCUCAUUGUCUCAUAAUUUUUCAGAUAUCUUCACAAUUUUCAUCCUCUCUACCAAUAUACCAGUACCUAAGAAAUAUUCACCAUUUUCAUCUAACCCUAAAAGUCACUGGUGAGAAGAAUCAAGAAUCCUAACUCGAACGCGCCAAAUCUGAUGAGAAGAAUGGAUCAAGUGCCACAUAAUUUUGAUAUGGAUCUCAAUUUCAAUCUUCGUCCUCAAUCAACCACACCAAACCCUCUCUUUCUCUCUCUUUUCAUUUCUUCUUCGAUUUCCCUUCGAUUCCGUAACUAUAAAUCCAAUCGAUCGAUCUCUCUGUUCCUUUCUUUACAAAUUUCUACGGAUUUUGAAUCUAAUAGAUCGAUCUGGUAUGAUCUCAUAUGAAGGUUUGUGAGAAUCAUGGCAGAAGAACACUGAUACAAGGCCCAACGAUUUUGCAUCGACAAUUGCGGUUUCUUCAACAACACUACCACAGAAGCUUCAAGUGCUACCGCAAUCUGAAGGUUAAGGAGCAACAGGCUUCCACGACAAAUCUAGCUCAAUUGCAGUGGAAGAUUAGACUUUUUUAUGAUGGUAACAUCUUCAUCACAAUAGGAUAACAAUGAGGAUUUUUCUUCUUUAAACAUGGACACUGCAGAUGCAACUGCUGUUGAAACAAUGAUUCUAAAGCUCACUGAAAAGGUAUGUUAUAACUGCUAAUUAAAGAUGAAAACAGUGGCAACUUGUCAGUGCAUAGUUAUCACGAUGUAUAUUGAUUUUUAAUAUAUUAUUUGUGCUGGUCAUCUGAACAAUUGAGUUUAGUGGUAGAUUCAAAGUUUUGGUCAUAAUCUGUCAUAGAAAGCCCAACAUAGAUAGUAAAAGAUUUACAAUUUUGUAUAACAAUCCUAUAAUCUUAAAGUUGAUAAGCAAUUGAGCAUGGUAUAGAUAGGUUAGGACUAUUGAUUUGAAAACUAAAAGGUAAAGAAAAGAAGUUUGCAAUCUGGGACAUUCUAUAUAUAUAUUUAAUUGUUAUAAUUGGGGAUAUCCCUCUCUGCCAAUUUCUCUGCAAAUUUUAGAUGUGUGUGCUUUUGUGUUUGUAGCAUUGGCCUAAUGCUGAAUUAUCAUCCUUUUUGCACCUAUAAUUUCUUAUUAUUUUCUUUUGGGGUUUUAGUAUUUGAAGGUCUUCUUCAGUAGUGAUUGUUCCAACUCAACCAUGUGGUUGUUAUUGUGACUGUGAAUGAUAUUGUAGCUUACUUUGUGAAAUAAAUCUUACUUGGAGGAAUUUACUCUACUAGUCAAUGUCUGGAGUAAAAGAGAUUUGAGUGCUGGUUUUUGUAUUUCUUCUUUCAUGAAUACUCAUAUCUCUAUCACCUCACGCUAUGGUAUCUGAUCUAAAUUGAGGGAGUGAACAUAAGAAAUAGGUACCCUGGUAUGCUGGCAACCAAAUGGAUAUAUCCAAGGCUAUGGUGAAGAAUAAUGGAGCAAGAUUACAAGGCCCCAGGUAAAAGUGGUAUUUUUUCGUGCAAAAUUCAACUCUAAUGUUCCUCCCAGAUCAAUUAUAAUAAUUGAGCAGCAUUAUUGUUGUUCAUUAUAUUUUUCUAAAAUGGCAUUGUGACGAGUUUUGAUGUGUCACACUGAGCAUGGAUAAGAGUAUUUGUUUAUAAACCCACGUCUGUUGAUGUUUCUCAAAAUUGUUUAUCCUUUCUCUUUUCUACCACAUCUAUCCAUUUUCAUGUAACAUUCUUCGAACUCCUUGUUGAACUUUUGUGCAUUUAGUCAGUGGAUGGGGUGCAUUUUUUGAUCUGCAAAUGAGUUCAUGACAUUCAUGAUUCAUAUUAAUAAUUCAUUCAUCAUAGACUUUCCGUGCAGUGUUCCACUAUGUUUUCUUAUGAGGUUCUUAUGCUCAAGAGUUAUAUGAUGUUUGUAGUGCAUACGAGAUAAUAAUAGGGGCUAACUUAGUAUUGCAUUAUUCAUUCAUGUUUGCAGUCCUUAUGCUCAGUGGUCAAUAGGGGCUAACUUAGUAUUGCAGGCUUGUUUGUGUUGUGUAUACGAGAUAAUAAUAUUGGCAUAAACAUGCCAACUUUCUAAUCAAAGUACAUCAGAAGAGAAAAAGAAAUUGUGAUUCUUAAGGGAAUGAACUGAAAUAUGUUGAAUUCCGGGAUGGUAAAUCAUAUCUAAUACUUGGUAGUGUUGUAUUCUUUUGGAAUGAAAUAAAUUACAAACAUGCAUAUAUACACUGUUUCAAUCUAUAUCUAGUGUUUCAAAUUUUCAAAAGACUCAAACAUACAGAGAUCUUUGAAAUGUAAUUUUAGAGCGGGACUUCGAUAGUCGAGAUGUGCUACACCAUGAGGUGUGAGACGUUCUCGUACUAAGGAAGCAACUUUUUAAUUCUCAUAACCAUAAUAAGAAAAUGAAAAUCGACCUAUUCCCUCCCAUAUGGAUUUGCACUGCCUCAUUCCCCUCCUUUUUCCUUUUCUGAUCUUUAGUAUUGAUGAAUUUAUUCCGCUCCUAAGGGAGCGCAUGAAUGUAUUGAAUCCAUAUGCCAGUUUUUUAGUGGGAUGGAUUACGGUAUUAGACAGUGUCCCAGAUAUCGAUAUGUUGGGCUUUCUUCCUAAUUUUCUUGAUGGUAAGUGCAUGGUAUGAGAAGGGUCCUUUUCUUUCUUGACUUUUUAUACAACUGAAUUUCAACCACCUAAUCAUACAUAAAUAUGUCAAGCUUGUCUAAUAUGUUGAGUGAUUCAAGUCAUGAAAUACGUCAACAAGUAGAUUCAGCUCUUUCAGAGUUCCUUCAAGAGAUUAAGAACUCCUUAGUAAGUCUCAUGCUAAUGCUUUUUACCUUUUUGGUAGACUUGUAAGGAUUCUGGCACUUUCAGAGUCCAAUUCUUUUAUGCCAUUAUCCCCCUUUUUUUGUUCAUUUGUUAUUUUCUAACUCGAGCAGUGCUACUCUUGAAGUCUGUAGAUUAUGGUCGAAUGGCUGAAAUUCUGGUACAGAGGGCAGGCUCUCCAGAUGAAUUUACUAGGCUAACAACUAUGGCAUGGAUAAAUCAGUUUGUCAAACUUGGCUGGAGACCAGCUUUUUCCAUAUUAUGCUAACAUUGUUGGAGCCAUUUUGCCUCUUCUGAAUGACAUGAUUUUAACAAUACAUCUUCAUUUCACUUUGAUGAAGGCGUUUCAUUGUGAUACUCCAAAAACCCUUUGGUGGAGUCCUACUGAGAAGAAUCAAAGUAAGGUCUUCCUUUCUUUGAACAACAUUCUUAAAGGCAACAAACCUAAAUGAAAUUGAAUGUUUUUAAUAUGGAAGAAGUAAUUUAUAUUCCUCCUUUAAGUGUUGUUCAAUCCGCUACAUAAUAUAGAUUCACUUCCUUAUUUCUACUAAUGACAAUUAUAAGUUUUAAAUAUUGCUUGCAUUAGUAAAACCAUUGAAUAAAUGUAAUACAAAGGGGUUAUGAUGGCUUUAGUGACAAUCAAUUUUUGCUACUUGGAAUCCAACAAGAGUAAUAGUUAUGUGGCUUCAAUUGUUGGAAUUCUUUUGCGGCGUUUAGAACCGCUGCUAAAAUUGGGAUGAAUUUUUCAUUGAUCCGCGGCGGUUGCAACCGACGUUGAAAUUUAUUUAAUCUUUUGCGGCGAUUGAUGAAAACCGACGUUAGGUGGCCUCGCGGCGCAAAAAACGCUGGCGGUUGCAUAGCCGAUGGGAAAAAUCUUCGCGGCGGUUUAAACUGCCGCUAUUUAUAACUUCAACCGCAGCUAAAUGUCUAGUUUUGGUGUAGUGCCACUGAAUCCCUGACAAUUGUUACAUGGAUUGACACUAUAGACAAUACAUACACACACACACACACACACACACACACACACGCACGAGCGCGCACACACAUGUGGAAAUGAAUUUAUAGUUUUAAUAUAACUCGAUACUUCUAUUAGAGUGUUAAUUUCUUUUGUUAAAACUUCUUUUAGUUCUUUCAAUACUUAAAAUAAAUCAAAACCCUUUGAUGUAUAUUGCCCUAAGGAUGGGUUGAAAUUGUAGGAUUUUUUAUUUGUUGGUGAGGUUAAGGGUUUAUUAUUAUAGUGUGGCAAUUAUACAUGAAUCAACUCUACUUUCUAUCUAUGUUAUACAUUCAGAUUUGUAUUGGGUUAAAGUAUCCUUAUACUUCCAAUUCAUAAAUUUUGGUUUAUGAAAAAUAUUCAAGUUGAAGAUAAUAAUUUUAUGACAUAACUUUUCAUUGUUUCAUUACCUCUCUCUUAAAUCUCGGUAAUAUAUAGUAUGUACUAUAUACGUACUAAUUUUUGGGGGCCUAAGAUUAUUGCCUAAUUAGCCUUGCAUUGUCCACGGCCCUGAAUUGUGGGUUACAAUGUGAGCGAUGAUGGAAUAAUGUAUUGGCUCAUAAAAAAUUCAUGGCGUCCAAAAUGGGGUGAGGACGGCUACAUGAGACUUCGCAGGAAUGUCAAGUUCAUAGAAAGGAAUGUGUGGUAUAGCUAUGAGAGCAUCAAACCUCUUGAGCAGAUAAUGGCAAGCAAAACUAAAAUUAUGUGAGCAGUGGUUGUCAUAUUGCUACUGCCUGUAAGGGCAUUUUUUUAUUCCAAGAUGUCUCCAUCGAGAUGAGGCAUGAGAGGUGGUGUGCUCAAUACGGUAGAGUCUACAAGGAUGAGCAAGAAAGACUUAGAAGGCUUGAUAUCUCCAAGAAGAAUGUGGAUUACAUAGAAACCUCCAACAAAGCAGGAAAAUCGUAUAGACUUGGCUUGAAAGAGUUUUUUUAUCUCACAAAUGACAAGAACAUAGCUCAAAGAAAUGGACUGAAGGUCUCCAAAGUCAUGAGGUCAACCUCAUUCAGAUAUGAAAAUGUCAGAGUGUCUUGCUGGGUGGACCGGAGGGAGGAAUGAGUUGCCAUACCAGUGAAGAGCCAAAGUUGUAUUUGGAUUGGAUUGCUUCCUGUGGUUUGGAUUGUAGGAUACAUCACUUUUAGACCAAGUUGUUUUAUAUUUUUCAAUUACUCAUUUAAUUUACAUUUGUAGGAACUUGUUGGGCUUAUUCUGCUGUUGGUUCAAUAGAAGGAUUUCACAAACUCGGAACAGGAAGUUUGGUUUACUUAUCAGAACAACAACAAAUCGAUUGUAACAUAAAUGAUUUCGAUGAAGGUUAGUAUCAAACAUGAGAGAUCAAGAGAAUGAAAUUCACUUCUCCAAUGCAAUCUCAAGAUUCUUUCUUAUAGCUUAAUAAAGUCCUUAUC